AUCUUAGUCUGACAUAUCCAACAUCCAAUGGAUUUAGUGUAAAGACUUAAUUAACAGUUAGAGAAAAACAUGACCGUGUGCAUUGCCAGAAUAUAGAUAUCGACAGAUUAGAGGAAACGCACGUAUGGCGAACAAAAUAUAUAAUAAUGGUGACUGAGGGCUUUUUUUUUAUAUUGUUUACAAUUUAACUUCGUAACACAAAUUAAGCAAGUUUACAUAAGCUAAACAGCUGACAUAAACAAAAUCUUCAAUUAUAUCAUAACCAUCACACAUCGUGUCGGCAAAAAAGAUUACAAUGAAACAAAGCACUUCAAUACGCGCACUAUUUUUACAAGUUGCAACGAAAUUUUUAAAACUACGCUGAUUUGUUAUGAAACAUUAAUACAGAGGACAGAAAACACGCGUUGCAAAAUCACGAUGUUUAAUAAAUAGAUUAAACAACAAAUUAACAUAAUCAUACCACAUGGAGGGUAGUGCCGUGACAUAUCGUCGCUGGGCUUCUAAAAUUUCGUAUAUGACUUUUUUUUUUGGCUAAAAAUACUUUUUGAAACCAAUGGUCUGGGCGGGGAGGAAAUCUUUGGUAUUACAAAAUAGCAUACAAUUAGACCAAUCAAAAUGUGUGAAAUAAGACAUAUUACAAAAUUGCCAAUGUCAGUUGUUUGUAAAGUUUGCUUCCAAAAUGUUGUAUGAAAACUUGAAAAUCGUUGUAGAAUGGCUUUGGGAAAAAAAUAAUUGUACAUUUC
This 743-nucleotide long non-coding RNA is filed under the name Mytilus galloprovincialis (Mediterranean mussel). The record is from RNAcentral. Lineage: Eukaryota; Metazoa; Mollusca; Bivalvia; Mytilida; Mytilidae.